GUAGGUGGCAAGCGUUGUCCGGAAUUAUUGGGCGUAAAGCGCGCGCAGGCGGGGUCCCUUUUAAGUCUGAUGUGAAAGCCCACGGGCUCAACCGUGGAGGGUCAUUGGAAACUGGGGGACUUGAGUACAGAAGAGGAAAGCGGAAUUCCAAGUGUAGCGGUGAAAUGCGUAGAGAUUUGGAGGAACACCAGUGGCGAAGGCGGCUUUCUGGUCUGUAACUGACGCUGAGGCGCGAAAGCGUGGGGAGCAAACAGGAUUAGAUACCCUGGUAGUCCACGCCGUAAACGAUGAGUGCUAAGUGUUAGGGGGGUUUCCGCCCCUUAGUGCUGCAGCUAACGCAUUAAGCACUCCGCCUGGGGAGUACGGCCGCAAAGGCUG
This 378-nucleotide ribosomal RNA is filed under the name uncultured organism. Its description in RNAcentral is "partial 16S ribosomal RNA". It matches the Rfam family "Bacterial small subunit ribosomal RNA", at positions 527 to 896 of the family's 1533-position model. The record is from RNAcentral.